Molecule: non-coding RNA, 589 nt
Organism: Schizosaccharomyces pombe (fission yeast)
Lineage: Eukaryota; Fungi; Ascomycota; Schizosaccharomycetes; Schizosaccharomycetales; Schizosaccharomycetaceae
Source: the annotation of a GenBank genome assembly
UUAUAGAUUGGUGUUUAUGAUUUCCAAAUAUGCGUUAGAAAAUGAUUUUUGUCAAUGUUAUUUUAAAACAAAAGAGCAUGGUGGUGGUUAUGGAGUUUAACAAACAAGAAAAAUGAACAUAAUGUCACAUUUCGUCCUCCUUUAAAAGUGUAAAAAAUCGAAUACUAUUCUCAACUUAAGUAGUCAUUAAAUAUAGAUGAUAUCGAGGCUUUCGGUUUAGUCGCCAAAUUUUACUUUGCGCAGUCUCUCGUCUAUGUUGCUUUUUUUUUGGUGUUUUUACUUUUUAAAUUUCAAAUUUAUGAAAUUUAGGCGUGAAUAUUGAUGACCAUAUAAAGCAUAAAAGUUCAAAUAGACUAAAAAUAAUUUGUGCGAUUUUUCGAUGGUUGAUGUUCGACCUAGGGAUUUACCGCAGAACUUUAGCUCUUCCAAUCAACCGUUAUUACCUCGAAAGGUAUAACAACUCAACAAGACCUUAUAUUGUCUCCAAUUCUAUAUGUUACGUUAUGCUGUUAUAAACAGAAGAAACGGUGUAUCUGCUGUUGAAUAAGUUUUUGCAUUCUUAUCACUUGGAUGUAUUAUUACAUUUCGU